This is a non-coding RNA of Asterophora parasitica, 82 nucleotides long. The record is from the annotation of a GenBank genome assembly. NCBI's taxonomy places the organism in Eukaryota, Fungi, Basidiomycota, Agaricomycetes, Agaricales, Lyophyllaceae.
GGCCGUAUGGCGAAAUGGCAUCGCGUCUGACUACGAUUCUCUCGGGAUUAGGAGAUUGCAGGUUCGACCCCUGUUUCUGUUA